RNAcentral lists this ribosomal RNA (397 nucleotides) under uncultured bacterium. RNAcentral's name for it is "partial 16S ribosomal RNA". It matches the Rfam family "Bacterial small subunit ribosomal RNA", at positions 523 to 918 of the family's 1533-position model. The record is from RNAcentral.
AUACGUAGGGGGCGAGCGUUGUCCGGAAUGAUUGGGCGUAAAGGGCGCGUAGGCGGCCCGGUAAGUCUGGAGUGAAAGUCCUGUUUUUAAGAUGGGAAUUGCUUUGGAUACUGUCGGGCUUGAGUGCAGGAGAGGUAAGUGGAAUUCCCAGUGUAGCGGUGAAAUGCGUAGAGAUUGGGAGGAACACCAGUGGCGAAGGCGACUUACUGGCCAGAAACUGACGCUGUGGCGCGAAAGGGUGGGGAGCAAACAGGAUUAGAUACCCUGGUAGUCCACACUGUAAACGAUGAAUGCUAGGUGUAGGGGGUAUCGACCCCUUCUGUGCGGCAGGCAACACAAUAAGCAUACCGCCUGGGGAGUACGGUCGCAAGGUUGAAACUCAAAUGAAUUGACGGAG